ACUAAAUAGAUACCCGGGUAGUCCACGCCGUAAACGAUGCCUACUAGAUUGUGGCGGUUCUGACGCCGGCACAGUCGAAAGCCAAAAAGUGUUAAGUAGGCCGUCUGGGGAGUACGGUCGCAAGGCUAAAACUCAAAGGAAUUGACGGGGGCUCACACAAGCGGUGGAGCAUGUGGAUUAAUUCGAAGCAACGCGCAGAACCUUACCUAGGUUUGACAUGCUUGGAUGCUUGCCUGGAAACAGGUGGAGCUGCUCUUCGGAGUGAAACUUGCACAGGUGCUGCAUGGCUGUCGUCAGCUCGUGUCGUGAGAUGUCGGGUUAAGUCCCUUAACGAGCGAAACCCUUGCCGUUAGUUACCAGCGGGUCAUGCCGGGAACUCUAGCGGGACUGCCGGUGUUAAACCGGAGGAAGGUGGGGAUGACGUCAAGUCAUCAUGGCCUUUAUGCCUAGGGCAUCACACGUGCUACAAUGGUCGGUACAAAGCGACGCGAGACCGCGAGGUGGAGCUAAUCGCAAAAACGCCGGCCCCAGUUCGGAUUGC
This 541-nucleotide ribosomal RNA is filed under the name uncultured bacterium. RNAcentral describes it as "bacterial SSU rRNA". It matches the Rfam family "Bacterial small subunit ribosomal RNA", at positions 772 to 1301 of the family's 1533-position model. The record is from RNAcentral.